This is a non-coding RNA of Solanum tuberosum (potato), 106 nucleotides long. The record is from Rfam. NCBI's taxonomy places the organism in Eukaryota, Viridiplantae, Streptophyta, Magnoliopsida, Solanales, Solanaceae.
AAGUAUUCAAUAGGGGCAACUUGAGAUCACAUGUUGUCAUUUUUCUUUUUUAGUUUGAUGAUUUGUAUCUCAACAUGUGUUCUCAGGUCGCCCCUGUCGAAUUAUU